RNAcentral lists this long non-coding RNA (1120 nucleotides) under Equus caballus (horse). RNAcentral's name for it is "lncRNA (ENSECAG00000048672.1)". The record is from RNAcentral. Lineage: Eukaryota; Metazoa; Chordata; Mammalia; Perissodactyla; Equidae.
GGUCACUUCUGCAGCAACGUCAGUCCCCUGGAUGGAUCAGGUUUCCCCUGGGCCACAGCCCUGAUGAUGAUGAUGCCCCUGUACCUCUCGCAUGUGGGAGUCCGCGCGUUGCCUUUCCUGGUCAUCCCAUCCCAGGUCUCCAGUUUUGACAAUUGACCCUACAACAUGAGAAGGUAUCAGUUCUCCACGUACCAACCUUUGUGGGGUCCCCACUGCCAGCUGGCCAACAGGCAAGCAAUCUCCAAAAUCCCUCAUUGGAGCCUGUUUCCUAGGACCAUUGGUUGGGUCCCCUGAAGACAGCUCUGAAAUGGAGAUUUGUGGGCAGUUGUCAGUAGGCGAGAGCUCCAGGCCUCAGCGCUGUGAUGGAGGAGGGAAGCAGUGCUGGUGGAGGGAGCUCGAGCUGCCAUGUAGUUGCAACAGAAGCUUUGGCUAAUCCCACAAGGGGCUUCCGAGCUGGGACUGCCCUUGAGAGUUGCCCCACUUGAGGCAGGGGGAUGCUGGCCCUGUAACCCUGCAUCCGUCUGCCACUGGGUGCUGGCUGCCCUAGGAGGGUGAGCGUGCCCUUGGAUAGGGUGGCUCCCUUCAGCCAAGGGCAGUCCUCUGGAGGGGACACAGCUAUGACAGCCACCACUUCCGGCAGCUGGGGAAGGAACAUCUCAGUCUGCAGUGGGAUCUAGGGGGAGCAGCGGAGCAUCCAUCCCGGCAACCCCAGGCUUUUCAAAACACAGUGAGGUUCCCGGAAAUAAUUGUCCUUAAAAGGAAGAAAUCGGUUUCAGGAUGCAACUCACAGGUCCAUUCCAGAAGGUCAGGAGGUGCAGACGAGUUGAGCUGUUGACUCAGCUGAGAUUACACCCUGGAAGACCAGGCAAGACUGUGUCACUCUAUCGUCACUCUGGCAAAGCAACCAAACCUCAGAAAGACCCCUCCCUUGUUUCUUCCCUCCUUUUCUAACCUGCACAAAUGUUUACUGAUGCUUUCUGGGUGCUGGCACUGUGCUGGUCCUGAGGACAUGGAGGUGAACAAGCAGACACAGCACUCUCUCUUAGGAAGAUGGCACUCCAGCGGCUGACACAGGCAUUAAACUGACAAUUUCACACAGAACCUUGGGAUUACAAUCGUG